Molecule: ribosomal RNA, 583 nt
Filed under: uncultured bacterium
Lineage: Bacteria
Description: partial 16S ribosomal RNA
Rfam family: Bacterial small subunit ribosomal RNA
Source: RNAcentral
UGGGGAAUAUUGCACAAUGGGCGCAAGCCUGAUGCAGCCAUGCCGCGUGUGUGAAGAAGGCCUUCGGGUUGUAAAGCACUUUCAGCGAGGAGGAAGGUGGUGAACUUAAUACGUUCAUCAAUUGACGUUACUCGCAGAAGAAGCACCGGCUAACUCCGUGCCAGCAGCCGCGGUAAUACGGAGGGUGCAAGCGUUAAUCGGAAUUACUGGGCGUAAAGCGCACGCAGGCGGUUUGUUAAGUCAGAUGUGAAAUCCCCGGGCUCAACCUGGGAACUGCAUUUGAAACUGACAAGCUAGAGUCUCGUAGAGGGGGGUAGAAUUCCAGGUGUAGCGGUGAAAUGCGUAGAGAUCUGGAGGAAUACCGGUGGCGAAGGCGGCCCCCCUGGACGAAGACUGACGCUCAGGUGCGAAAGCGUGGGGCAGCAAACAGGAUUAGAUACCCUGGUAGUCCAGCGCUGUAAACGAUGUCGAUUUGGAGGUUGUGCCCUUGAGGCGUGGCUUCCGGAGCUAACGCGUUAAAUCGACCGCCUGGGGAGUACGGCCGCAAGGUUAAAACUUAAAUGAAUUGACGGGGUCAUAGCUG